Molecule: non-coding RNA, 1605 nt
Organism: Camellia sinensis
Lineage: Eukaryota; Viridiplantae; Streptophyta; Magnoliopsida; Ericales; Theaceae
Source: RefSeq, a predicted model, not a curated record
AAAGGUUUUCAAAAUAUUUUUGUAAAUAACUCAUUUUAAAAAACACGCGUGUUUUGGUGUACGAACAUAUUUUCCCUUUUAAGACCCACGCGUUUUUCAUUCUUCUAUUCUAUUUCACGCAGCAAUUGAUAGAUCUAGGUUUUCUAUCUCUUCAUCACUCCUCUUUCUUAUGUUGAAAGGUCACUAGAUCGAGCUUCGUAGGCUCCGAUUCACAAUCUAGUUCUCUCCAUCUUGGCUCAAAGCUCUCGAUUAGUCCGAUUUGAAGAUUAAUUUUAGUCACAGAACCACCAUCACAACUAUACUGUGUCAAUCUUUGCAGCGAUGUCAAUCUUUGCGUUUGUGCUUGAACAGGUUUGGCUAGAACAGUCACAAUUGAGGCAAGGUUUUGGAGGCAGUUUCAAUUUCAAGACUGCUAUGUAGUUCCAAAUCCCCCUCUCCUUUAGUUUCUUGGAGGAAAUCAUCCUUGGAAGUGGUCAAAACUUUGUAUUAGAGGUAUUUAUUUUAAUCGUGUUAGAACUUUGUAUGACUUAUUGCAUGAAUGUUUUCAAUACACGCGAGUAUGAUAUGUCAAAUAAAUUAUAAGGAUGGGUUUUCUUUUGCUGAAGUGAUCAAGAAUAUAUAUAUUUUUCAUUAUUUGUGCAUAAAGCAAAUCCAAUUAUGGUCUUCUCCUAAGCUGAGUUAUCAAAAGCUGCAUGUUUACCAAAUUCUGUUAUUGGCUAAUGAUAUUUUUCUUGCAGUGCUAGUUAACAAUAUUUUUACUUGAACUAGCCACUUGUUCUGUGCUCCUAUUUUAGUAAACUAGUAGAAUUUAACCAUGUACAAUCACAUAAUGACUAGUUUUCAUAUGGUAUCUCCACUGCUUUGGCAAUUAAGAUUUCAUUAUAAAGCUGCCUUUAGUCUAUACUUACAAUUUUUAAUGUGUUUUUUUGAACAUGUUAAGAAUCAUUGAUUAGAGGAAACGAAAACCUGUUGAGAAAUGUUAACAAUCCUUUCUACUUUUGUUUUGAUGUUUCAAAGAUAUGUUGUUGCUGAGGACACUUAAGUUUAACUGAAGUUUAAUAUCUUCCAAUGUAAUAGUUUUUAUUUAUUAUUUUUUUAUAAUACUGGAAACUGGUUAUUAGACCAUGGUAUUUAUCAUUAAUGUGCAUAUCUUUGCUGGAGCUUUUUCAUAAUGGUAAUUUCUGUAGGGUUGUAACCCUUUAGGCAUUCGAGGUUGAAGUUGGUAGUAAUGAUAAAGUGUUCCUGUUAAAGUUUGUGAAUUACUAGAUGCUGUUUCUGCGUAUGGUAUGAUCAAUUUUAUAUAAGAUCACAACUUAUCAUUGAAUAGGAUUGAAGGUUGGUGUAGUUAACAAUAAAGUGUUCCUAUUAAGGUUUGUGAACAACUAGAUGCUGUUUCUGCCUAUGGCAGAGCCAAGAUUUGAACACUUCAUUCUUAUAUUAGCUGUGACAACAAAUAUGGAAUGGGAGCAUGUAGAUAUCUUUGAAAAUGAGGGUGAUGGGUGAUUCCAGUAUUGAAAGCAAAAUAUUUAUUUACUUAAAUAAGGCCUUCGCUCUCUUCGUUUUAAGGUACAAAUUGGGUACUUAUCUUCCAAUGUCGGGAGCUCA